This 477-nucleotide ribosomal RNA is filed under the name Dunaliella salina. Its description in RNAcentral is "partial large subunit ribosomal RNA". It matches the Rfam family "Eukaryotic large subunit ribosomal RNA", at positions 108 to 598 of the family's 3401-position model. The record is from RNAcentral. Lineage: Eukaryota; Viridiplantae; Chlorophyta; Chlorophyceae; Chlamydomonadales; Dunaliellaceae.
CCCAACUUGAAAAUCUCCCUUUGGAGAAUUGUAGUCUAGAGAAGCGCCCUCUGCGGCGGCCGGAGCCUAAGUCCGUUGGAAAACGGCGUCAGAGAGGGUGAGAACCCCGUCGGCUCUAGGCUUAGCUGCUCCACGAGGUGCUUUCCACGAGUCGGGUUGUUUGGGAAUGCAGCCCAAAAUGGGAGGUACAUCCCUUCUAAGGCUAAAUACUGGCGAGAGACCGAUAGCGAACAAGUACCGUGAGGGAAAGAUGAAAAGAACUUUGAAAAGAGAGUUAAAAAGUGCUUGAAAUUGUUGAGAGGGAAGCGUUUGGAGGUUAUAGGUGCGCCUAGGCUUAUACGGUCCUAACGAGCCGUUGUAUGUGCUAGGUGCUGGUCAACAUGGGUUAGCUUGGCGGGAUAACAGCGGGGGUUGAUACCCCGUCUAUGCCGCCGGGUUGAUCAAGGUGUGAAUGGCGCUUUGUCCCUCGGGAACUGC